Molecule: long non-coding RNA, 1964 nt
Organism: Vespa mandarinia (Asian giant hornet)
Lineage: Eukaryota; Metazoa; Arthropoda; Insecta; Hymenoptera; Vespidae
Source: RefSeq, a predicted model, not a curated record
UACAAGAAAUAAUAAAUAUUCAUGUAUUGUUAUGAAUGGUGUCGAGUAUUGUGUAUGAAUAUUUUUCUACAUUUCCAAAUUCACAUUAAAAUAUUGACAAUAGAGAUAGUAGAGGAUAAAUCAGAAAUAAAAGAAAAAUAAAAUAAAAUAAAAUAAAAUAUAAAAAAAAAAAAAAUUUCAAGUAUAAUAAAAUUGUAUAGUUAAUAUAUAUGCAUGCACUAACAGUUAUUAUUCUUAGAGUUAUUUCUUUAGAAUUUCUCGAAUCUGCAGACGAUUUCGCUGUUAUACUGAAUCAUUAAGUACAUAUAUUUAAACGUGAAUAAUUGGGAGAAUGCCUAAUCUAAAAUACAACGAACGUAUACACCUAUAUUCUUUCAUUACCGUUGGCAUUAGAUGAAAAAGAAUAAUAAAAAUGAAGCAGAACGUCCAGAUCAAAACAAGAAACUUACUCGGCUCGUGAAGAACGACUUGUGCCAAACCAUCGGCAAGAGAUGCUGUAAAAGUUGGCGUUUUUGAGUGGGAGCUACUGGAAGCCCCGGUUUGAAUGUGCGUAUUUGGAUCUAAAGCUCCGCCACUUGCCGAUACAAUAUCACAACACCAAUACAAUAAUUGAACACUAAUCAGUACAAUAACAUCAGCGUCCACGACCCCUCGCAUUUUAGGUUAACUUCGUCUUAUUAUUAAAUAUGUAUCUCACACCAAGCUUUAUCUAGCUUUUGUAUAUAAAUAUCAAAACUUUAUUAAUCCCCUGUGUCCCGUCUAAUUCCGACGCGCGGUCGUGAAUGUGCUCAAAAUUACAAUUAUCACAACCGGGAUGUUGGCAUCGUUCGGAGAUGAUGAUGAUGAUGAUGAUGAUGAUUUGUUGAGUACGUUGCCACAAGUGCAAUCGAUUAUACGUUAUUAAACUAACUUCAUCACAAGUGAUAUAUCCGAUACGUUUAUAUAUCUACAAAAUCACUUCUCAUUUAAGUACCCGUAUUAUUUUAUAAAUUAAGUAUAUACCGCGUGUCCCUGAAUAAAAUAUUCUUUCUCAAGGCUAUUGUACAUACGCUCCUUCACUCAUCGCCACUACACCAAGAUGCGAUUUUAAACUUGCGGAUUGGUACCACAUAUGGCUACUUCAGAUAUUCCCAACACCUGCUGCUUACUUUGGUAAUUGCCAAGAUUCCACUGCGUAUCGUUCCUUAAGAAAUAACAAAUAUAUAUCGAGAAUUAGUUUGAAUUUAAUUAAACAACGAGGAUUAAUUACAAGCAAAAGAUUAAACGCAAUGUUUAUUUAAGAAAUUGAAAAAUAUAUCAUUUUUUAUAAUCGUACAUUUAUCGCUCAGUUAUAUUAGCCAUCUUAGGUAAGUAUAAUGUUUUUUUUUUUUUACUAGAGAAAGUGACCACAUUGAAAUAUUUUUAUAAAUUGAACGUUUAAGAGCGCCCUCUUUGAUAAAUUAUUACCCAAAACAUGCGCAUGAAAGAGCGCGCGUGAUAAUUUGCGUAUAUUGUAUUUACAUCAUGAGAACGAUGUAAUAUAUUAGUCAUCAACGAAAUACUUAAUAUAUAUAUAUACAUACAUAUAUAUAUAUAUAUAUGUCCUCUUCGUGUGUCUAUAAUUAUAAUUUAGCUAUACGUCGUAUUCCUCAAUAUAUUCUUUAUAUAUGUUAACCAUUAUUUUGAACUAGCACACUAGUCAGGAAUGCAAUAUAAAAAAAACAAAAAUUACCAUAGUUUUAAAUAGAUUUAAAAAGUACAUUUGAAAUUUAUAAUAUUUUUUUACAAUUAUGUAUGAACACAGGUUUAUAAGAAAAGAUAGGAAGUAAACAUUUAAACAUAGGAAGUAUAUAUUUAAUCUACUAAAGUUAAAUAUUAAAAAACAUUUUCUCAUGAAUUCAUAACUCAUUCAUGUACUUUCUUAAGUUAUUGUAUAGCAAAGGUCAUUUGGUGCAAUAAAGUAAGUCAUAUUAAUUGAAUGCUCA